GAGUGUUUUGUUGAUAUUGAAUGAGUUAUAGUUGAAUGGUUAUACCUAGAUACACACUUGUUUCUUUUUUUUUUUUUUUUCCUUUUUCGUGUUGUUGACAACAAUUUGUAUAGGGUUGAUUUUAAUUAAAUGAAAACGAGAACUUUACUAAAAGAAAAUACAUUCCCUACUUUAUAUUAUGCAUGCAAUAAAUAUUUAAUUUCCUAAAAUAAAACCUA
RNAcentral lists this long non-coding RNA (218 nucleotides) under Vigna radiata. Its description in RNAcentral is "long non-coding RNA (VRAD_LNC014864)". Lineage: Eukaryota; Viridiplantae; Streptophyta; Magnoliopsida; Fabales; Fabaceae. The record is from RNAcentral.